Molecule: ribosomal RNA, 704 nt
Filed under: uncultured bacterium
Lineage: Bacteria
Description: bacterial SSU rRNA
Rfam family: Bacterial small subunit ribosomal RNA
Source: RNAcentral
CUACCUCAAGGUUGGGGAUAACAUUUGGAAACAGAUGCUAAUACCGAAUAAAACUUCGUAUCGCAUGAUACCAGGUUAAAAGGCGCUACGGCGUCACCUAGAGAUGGAUCCGCGGUGCAUUAGUUAGUUGGUGGGGUAAAGGCUUACCAAGACAAUGAUGCAUAGCCGAGUUGAGAGACUGAUCGGCCACAUUGGGACUGAGACACGGCCCAAACUCCUACGGGAGGCUGCAGUAGGGAAUCUUCCACAAUGGGCGAAAGCCUGAUGGAGCAACGCCGCGUGUGUGAUGAAGGCUUUCGGGUCGUAAAGCACUGUUGUAUGGGAAGAACAGCUAGAGUAGGGAAUGACUUUAGUUUGACGGUACCAUACCAGAAAGGGACGGCUAAAUACGUGCCAGCAGCCGCGGUAAUACGUAUGUCCCGAGCGUUAUCCGGAUUUAUUGGGCGUAAAGCGAGCGCAGACGGUUAAUUAAGUCUGAUGUGAAAGCCCGGAGCUCAACUCCGGAAAGGCAUUGGAAACUGGUUAACUUGAGUGCAGUAGAGGUAAGUGGAACUCCAUGUGUAGCGGUGGAAUGCGUAGAUAUAUGGAAGAACACCAGCGGCGAAGGCGGCUUACUGGACUGUAACUGACGUUGAGGCUCGAAAGUGUGGGUAGCAAACAGGAUUAGAUACCCUGGUAGUCCACACCGUAAACGAUGAACACUA